UUUCCGUAGGUGAACCUGCGGAAGGAUCAUUAUCAAAAGCCAAGUCGGGGGCUGUAAAGCUCUCGUCUACACCCAUGUCUUUUGCGUACUCUUGUUUCCUCGGUGGCGCAAGCUGCCGAUUGGACAAACCAAAACCUUUUUUGUAAUUGCAAUCAGCGUCUGAAAAUAAUCUAAUUAUUUACAACUUUCAACAACGGAUCUCUUGGUUCUG
RNAcentral lists this unclassified non-coding RNA (211 nucleotides) under root metagenome. RNAcentral's name for it is "partial contains small subunit ribosomal RNA, internal transcribed spacer 1, and 5.8S ribosomal RNA". The record is from RNAcentral.